Molecule: ribosomal RNA, 245 nt
Filed under: Paulisebacina allantoidea
Lineage: Eukaryota; Fungi; Basidiomycota; Agaricomycetes; Sebacinales; Sebacinaceae
Description: partial 28S ribosomal RNA
Rfam family: Eukaryotic large subunit ribosomal RNA
Source: RNAcentral
AGAGCUCAAAUUUUAAAUCUGGCGCCUUCGGUGUCCGAGUUGUAAUCUAUAGAAGUGUUUUCCGCGGUGGACCGUGUACAAGUUUCCUGGAACGGUACGUCAUAGAGGGUGAGAAUCCCGUAUGUGGCACGGACUCCCAUUGCUAUGUGAUACACUCUCAACGAGUCGAGUUGUUUGGGAAUGCAGCUCAAAGUGGGUGGUAAAUUCCAUCUAAAGCUAAAUAUUGGCGAGAGACCGAUAGCGAA